Molecule: ribosomal RNA, 468 nt
Filed under: uncultured bacterium
Lineage: Bacteria
Description: partial 16S ribosomal RNA
Rfam family: Bacterial small subunit ribosomal RNA
Source: RNAcentral
GACGAACGCUGGCGGCGUGCUUAACACAUGCAAGUCGAACGGAAAGGCCCUGCUUUUGUGGGGUGCUCGAGUGGCGAACGGGUGAGUAACGCGUGAGUAACCUGCCCUUGACUUUGGGAUAACUUCAGGAAACUGGGGCUAAUACCGGAUAGGAGCUCCUGCUGCAUGGUGGGGGUUGGAAAGUUUCGGCGGUUGGGGACGGACUCGCGGCUUAUCAGCUUGUUGGUGGGGUAGUGGCUUACCAAGGCUUUGACGGGUAGCCGGCCUGAGAGGGUGACCGGCCACAUUGGGACUGAGAUACGGCCCAGACUCCUACGGGAGGCAGCAGUGGGGAAUAUUGCCCAAUGGGCGGAAGCCUGAUGCAGCAACGCCGCGUGCGGGAUGACGGCCUUCGGGUUGUAAACCGCUUUCGCCUGUGACGAAGCGUGAGUGACGGUAAUGGGUAAAGAAGCACCGGCUAACUACGUG